Molecule: ribosomal RNA, 440 nt
Filed under: uncultured bacterium
Lineage: Bacteria
Description: partial 16S ribosomal RNA
Rfam family: Bacterial small subunit ribosomal RNA
Source: RNAcentral
CCUACGGGAGGCAGCAGUGAGGAAUAUUGGGCAAUGGACGCAACUCUGACCCAGCCAUGCCGCGUGAGUGAAGAAUGUUUUCGGAUUGUAAAGCUCUUUCUGUUGUGACGUUGAUGACGGUAGCAUCUAAAGAUGCCCCGGCUAACUUCGUGCCAGCAGCGGCGGUAAUACGAAGGAGGCAAGCGUUGUUCGGAAUUACUGGGCGUAAAGGGAGUGUAGGCGGUUUAGUAAGAUAGUGGUGAAAUCCCAGAGCUUAACUUUGGAAUUGCCAUUAUAACUAUUAGACUAGAAUUACAGAGAGGAUAGUGGAAUACGCGGUGUAGAGGUGAAAUUCGUAGAUAUUGGGUAGAACACCAGUGGCGAAGGCGACUAACUGGCUGGACAUUGACGCUGAGGCUCGAAAGCAUGGGGAUCAAACAGGAUUAGAUACCCCAGUAGUC